Callithrix jacchus (white-tufted-ear marmoset) is the source of this 478-nucleotide long non-coding RNA. The record is from Ensembl. Lineage: Eukaryota; Metazoa; Chordata; Mammalia; Primates; Cebidae.
AUGGGAGCUUCCUUUCUUGUAGUUUGGGUAGAUUAUCUGUAUUUUGGAUCCCCACCUCUGACUAGAAUGCUAAAAAUGUAUUUCAGACUUCCUGGACAAUGUGUUGUAGUGAUGUGGGAACAUAAGUUGGAUUUCAGUGUUAUGUCUUACUCUUCAAGGGCUGGUCCAGUUCUCCUGAGACAUAUUUACCAGAAAGAGCCAAAGGCAGAGCAGCAGUUAAAACAUGACAUAUUGAAAACCAAAGAAAACUCAAGGCAGCAAAUGUCAAGAAAUCAUACCAAAGAGCAUAGCAAAGAGCAAAGCAAAGGCAUUGCUAUAUCUGAUGAAACUGGUCUGCCAAUAUGUGUUUCUCAUCGUUUCCUAACUGAAGCUCCAGAUUUAAUGAAACUGGAAAGAGAUUUUGUGGAGAUGCUGGAUACUUGCUGAGGAGCUUACUAAGGUUAUGCUUUCUCUGUUUAGUAUCUUAAAUAGACUUUUG